AAGAGCCGUGUGAAGGGAGACUUUCAUGCACGGUUCUGUGAGGAGCUUGGGGUGAAAGUCCCCGGGCUUACUCGAU
RNAcentral lists this non-coding RNA (76 nucleotides) under Bacteroides stercorirosoris. The record is from RNAcentral. Lineage: Bacteria; Pseudomonadati; Bacteroidota; Bacteroidia; Bacteroidales; Bacteroidaceae.